This 615-nucleotide small RNA is filed under the name Arabidopsis thaliana (thale cress). Its description in RNAcentral is "ATSL065560". Lineage: Eukaryota; Viridiplantae; Streptophyta; Magnoliopsida; Brassicales; Brassicaceae. The record is from RNAcentral.
AAAAUAUGACAAGAAAAAUGCAAAACAUAAGCAAUACAUAAGCAACACACAAGCAAACAAAAUUAUAAGCUCAAAUUUUAAGACUUUAAAACAUUGCUAGUUAUCAACUACACAAAAAUGUGUAAUAAUAUAAGAGACCGAAAAUAUGUGUUUUAAGACUGUAGAUAGUUGUCAUUAAUUUUGUUUUAACUAAAAAAUAUUUAUAAAACUAUUCUAUAUAACACUUCUUUUUCUAUGUGUUAUUCGCAAUACAUCAUACAAGAUUUUGGAACUGUCGGAGGAGGCGCAGCGGGCAUUACUUCAUUUACCAUCGCAGAGCUCAUCUCGAUCGUGUCGUCGGUAGCGGCCACGCCUUGGGGAAAGGAUUCAUCCGCUAUUCUUGUUAACCUUUUUUAAUUGAGUCUUCGAAUUGUGAACAAAAGCCUUUUGUGUUGUACUUGGUUCGAAUUGUGAACAAAACUCAAUGGUUCAAUCUUUAUAAGGAAUCCUUAUCAUUUUUAAUAAAUGUUUUUUGAUAAUUAUGAAGUUUAGAGUUUUUGUAGAGUCUCUAUAUUUUUUAUUAUCUAAUAGUGGAGUCUUUAAGUAAGUUUUUAAAAACAAAAGUAUUUUUUAAAU